Molecule: ribosomal RNA, 468 nt
Filed under: uncultured bacterium
Lineage: Bacteria
Description: partial 16S ribosomal RNA
Rfam family: Bacterial small subunit ribosomal RNA
Source: RNAcentral
GAUGAACACUGGCGGCGUGCCUAACACAUGCAAGUCGAGCGAUCUUCUUCGGAAGAGAGCGGCGGACGGGUGAGUAACGCGUGGGUAACCUGCCCUGUACACACGGAUAACAUACCGAAAGGUAUGCUAAUACGAGAUAAUAUGCUUUUAUCGCAAGGUAGAAGUAUCAAAGCUCCGGCGGUACAGGAUGGACCCGCGUCUGAUUAGCUAGUUGGUAAGGUAAUGGCUUACCAAGGCGACGAUCAGUAGCCGACCUGAGAGGGUGAUCGGCCACAUUGGAACUGAGACACGGUCCAAACUCCUACGGGAGGCAGCAGUGGGGAAUAUUGCACAAUGGGCGAAAGCCUGAUGCAGCAACGCCGCGUGAGCGAUGAAGGCCUUCGGGUUGUAAAGCUCUGUCCUCAAGGAAGAUAAUGACGGUACUUGAGGAGGAAGCCCCGGCUAACUACGUGCCAGCCGCCGCCGUAA